GGACUAGGAACUGAGCGUUAGACUCUUUCCUUUGCAAGAGUGGAAUGUCGCAAGAUUGGGAAAGAAAUUUCUGUGUUUGCGACCUUAGGGCGCACUUUCCGGCCAAUCCAGAGGCGCCUGAAGGCCGGUUGGGCUGGUGAGGUCCGAGGCAGCUUCAGGGACUUCUGAGCAGCCCCAGUCUGUACAAGAUGGACCCCAUAGUCCUGAGUUACAUGGAUAGUCUACUGCGGCAAUCAGAUGUCUCAUUGCUGGACCCACCAAACUGGCUCAAUGACCAUGUCAUUGGAUUUGCCUUUGAGUAUUUCAGCAACAGUCAGUUUCGUGACUACUCUGACCACGUCUGCUUCAUCAGCCCCGAAGUCACCCAGUUCAUCAAGUGUAUUAAUAGCCCAGCAGAAAUUGCCAUGUUCCUUGAACCCUUGGAGCUUCCCCACAAGAGAGUUGUAUUUUUAGCCAUCAAUGAUAACUCCAACGAGGCAGCUGGUGGAACCCAUUGGAGUUUGUUGGUUUAUCUACAGGAUAAAAAUAGCUUUUUUCAUUAUGAUUCCCAUAGCAAAAGCAACUCUAUCCAUGCAAAGCAGGUAGCAGAGAAACUAGAGACCUUUUUAGGUAGAAAAGGAGACAAACUGGUCUUUGUAGAGGAAAAAGCCCCUGCUCAACAAAACAGCUAUGACUGUGGGAUGUACGUGAUCUGUAACACUGAGGCCUUGUGUGAGAACUUCUUUAGGCAACAGCCGGACUCCCUGCUGCAGCUGCUCACCCCCACAUACAUCACGAAGAAGCGAGCAGAAUGGAAAAAUCUCAUUGCCAGGCUUGCUAAGAACUAGCUACUGAAGAACAUUUGUGAGUCUGGAAGCUUUUGUUUCUGCCCUUCCGCAUUGAUUGGAUGGCUGCAGUCUCAGUGCCUGAGGGAAGAUGCCUGGUGAAGAAAAGCUCCCUGUUUUUCUUAAAGGAUCUCAUCCUCUUCAUUGGCCCUAUGGAAAGUUUCCUUUAACCCUGACCUGAGAGCACCACAUUCUGUGAAAAUAUGUUCGAGUUCUGCACCAAAACCUUAAAUUUACUUUAACAUUUAUUACAUAUGCACUUCAAAGCCAAGAUUAUAGCUAUGCAAAAUUCAGCUCCUAAAUAUUCAAAAUGAAAGCAACUUACUCAAAACUGAGUUAAGCAAUUUUCAAAUGGAACCACUCUGCUUUCCAGCAAUGCCUGUUGCAGUGUCCCAGAAGUAUUUUCACAUUUGUCCAUUGGGGUCAAUAUGAAACUGAGAAAGGUCACCAUGUGUUAACCCAGCUGUAGAUGGUGGUAUUAUAUAUUUUGGAGUUUUUAUGUACACAUGAUGAAAUAUGAUGAUGAGGCCCAUGUCUAAACAAGAUUCCACGUUUAUGUUUCAUACAUAAAUGUUUCUUCUAAAAGUAGCCUGAGGAUAAUUUUUUUUGGUAACUUCAUACAAUAUUUUUAGUGCACCAGCAUUUUGACUGCAAUUCUUCACAUGAGGUCAGUGGAAUUCAUCACUUGUGGCAUCAUGUUGGUGCACAAAAAGAUUUUGGAGCACUUUGGAUUUUAGAUUUUCAGCUCAGGGAUGCUGUUCUUAUACCUGGUUUAAAGAUGAAGAAAUUGAGGCUUAGAGUCACUGCAGUUAAGUAAACUGAAUAGGUUUAAAUGUAGUUACACUCAGGCUGAGAGCUAACUCAGUGGCACAAACACCAGUCUGGCAAGUGCAAGUUCUUGAAUUCGAUCCCUAGUACCAAAAAAAAAAAAAAAAAAAUUGUAGGUACCCUCAUUCCAGAACUUUCACUCUUAUCCAGCAGGCUGUACUGCAUUUUGAUUUUAUGUUUAUUUGUCUGUUUAUUUUUUGAUACAGGCUCUUGCUAUGUAGUUUAGGCUGGCCUUAAACUUACAUCUUGGUUGUUAAUAUUAUGUUUUUCUAUUUUAACAGAAAAGAAAGAUUGCUAUUAAAACCAAAAUAGCGGGGCUGGAGAUUUAGCUCAGCAGCAUAAGCACCUGCCUUGUAAGCAGGCAGUCAUGAGUUCGAUCCCCGGUACUGAUAAAAAGGAAAAAGACAAAAAAAAAAAAAAAAAUGAAUGUAGCUUUCCUAAUUUCUAAAAAAUGUCUCAUAACAUGUUUUCAUUUCCUUUUUUUAGUACAGGGGCCUAAACACAGGGCCUUUGCUCUGAAAUACAUCCUCUGUUCCCUCUUUUUAAGAAACAUUCUGAGACAAGGUCUUGCUAAAUUUGAGUUCCCCAGGCUGUACUCAAACUUACAAUCUUCCUGCCUCAAUUUCCUAGAGCUCUGGAAUUCUAGACAUGCACCACCAUGAAGAUAUUUUUCUAGAGAGCUUGUUGGUUUGUUGGAACAAACACCUCGAUCUCUGUGGUCAAGAAAAGAUAUUAGUUAGUCCAUGCAGGCCAAGAGACUAAUUAUGCCAACUAAAGAAAUUUGGAUUUUCAUUGGUUGGCCUAGUGAAAGACAAUGAGACCUAGAAAACAGGAGGGGAGAUUAGUGAGAGAACUAGGAGUUAGGGCCCUACUAAAAGGCAUGGCUACUGAGAUUCCUGCUAUAAUUAAAAAUACUAAAUCUUGCCAUCAUAGAGCACAUCUGUAAUUCCUGCAUGCAGGAGGCUGAGGCAGGAAAAUUGCCAUGAGCUCGGGCUACAUACUGAGACCCUCUCUAAACAAAGAAAAAAACCAAACAAACAAAAAAAAAAGCUAUUAAAUACUAUCAUCAGAUGUGUAUGAGUCGAAUUUGAAGUUUCUGGCUCCAUAGUGUAGUCUUAACUCUAAACCUCACAGUUUGGAGAUACCCAGACCUGUCCUGGCAGUGGGUCCCUUGGAAGAAUGCAGAGUGAGGAGCAGCACAUGAUGAACCAUAAAAGAAAUGACCAAGGCACAAGAGAUGGUGGCCACACAGGACAUUGGACAGAGUUUGACCCAGGAGACACUGAAGCAAUCCUGGAAUUCUCAGACCCUUACACAGUGAUUGGAGUUAGGUCUCAGGUCAUUUUUGUGUUGAAAGAAUGACCCAAAAACAUAAAAUUAUUUGAAGUUUUUCAGUUUGGAAAGUUCUGGGUUACAUUCAAAUGGUAAAAAGUGUUGGCUGAACCACAGUAACACUGGUUGCUUAGCAGUGUCCAUCAUGGUCUCUGCCCUGAUGUAAAUUUGUUGGUUUCCAGGACAUCAAACUUUCUAGUUUCCUCCUUCCUUAUCAGGCGCUCGAUUUCCAUUGCUAGUUCUUGCUUUUCUCCCCGAUCUCGAGUUGACAGUGCUCCUCAGGGCCCAGUCCUCCAGCCUCUCUGUCCACCAACAUUAACUCCCUGGAUGACCUCAUCCAGGGUCAUGCUCAUAAACACCAUAACUCUCAAAUCUCUUAUCUCCCAGACAGAGAUAGAGAUGUCCACCUGACAACCCCCUCCAGUUAUCAGAAGCUCAUCUCAAACUUGCCAUGUCCAAUUCUGCAUUUCUGAUCUUCCACCCCACAGUUUCCAAAGGUCUCACUCAUGGCUUUCUCCAUGUCCAUCCUGCCAAGUCAAAAAUUAUGAAGUCCUCCUUAAGACUCUUUUCCUGUAGUACCCUAUCUCCAGCUCAGCAGUGACCCUGCUGCUUCUGCCUUCAGAAUAGGCCCACAGCCUGCCCAUUUCCCCCAUUUCUACUUCUGUCGUCCUAGUUAGAACCACCACUGCCAUCACUUGCUUGGAUCACUACAAAAACCUAACCAAAAUACCUUUCCCACCCUAGCAGCCAAGGAUGAUCCUUUUAAGUAUAUAUAAUAAAAGAUCAUUAUACUUUAUCCAAAGUUCUUUUGUUCUUUUUGCCUUUUUCUUUCUUUCUCUUUGUCUUUUUGAGACAGAGUCUCACUAUGUAAUUCAGACAGACCUUGAACUCACUAUGUAACCCAGGCUGGCCUUGUACUCAAAACAAUCCUCCUGCUUUAGCCUCCCCAGUGAUGGGGUUACAGGCGUGCACCAUCACACCCAACCCAUCCAAAAUUCUUAUAGUCACCUCCCAUGUUCUUCCAGCUUUUCCCCCCGCCCAGCCCCUCUUGUUCUCUCUUCCAGCUAUACCUGCUACUUCGCUGGGGACAAGCAAGCUGGGCCCUUUCCUGCCUCAGACCCUGCGUACAUGCUAUUCUUACUCCCUGCUUCCAUAAAGCUUAUUCUUUCACUUCUUUCCUUAAAUACCAGCUCCUCAGUUAGAUCCUCUCUGACUGCUCUUUUCCAAUGGCAAUACCCUAACAGCAUUGCCAACCCCCCUUUUUUUUAACAAUACUAGGGAUCAAACCCAGGACUAUGCACAUCCUAGGUGGGCUACUUCCUAACCUCCUUUGAUUCUUUUUUUUUUUUAAUUUUUAUUUAAAGAAAGACUAAACAAAACAGAAAAUAGGUAGAAAUAAUACAUACGUUCAGAGAAAAAAAUAAACAGUAAAAAAUCACUAGUUGAUGUUUAUAUAUUGUCAUUUUACAAAUAGUAGUUCAAGAUACAAAAAUGAAACAUGUAAAGCAGGAAUUCAAACAGCGAAACUGCAAACAGUUCUGUUCAACUGUCCAGCAAAAACUUAGUAACAUGGUUGUCAAUCCUAUACAUUUAAACAUACAUGCAGUUUUCCUUAUCUUCAAUUAUGUUGAGAUUGAACAAACCCAAACCAGCUAAUAUCACUCUAAACAAAGAGUAAUACUAUUGCUGGGUGUCUCACUAUGACACUCCAGGAUCAGCACGGGGUACUUUAGUGUCUCUUUUUCUUCAUAGUAUCUGUUCAUUUCAUCACAUGUCAUAAGAUCAGUUCUCAUAAACCGCUUAUAGAUCUACACAUGAAGGAGUCCUAACAUGUAUUUCUAUCAUUUCUAUAUUGGAGAAACAAAACAAAGCAAGACAAAACAAAACAUAUUCCUAUAAACACAUGAAACAAAAAAGACAUAUAAGACCAUUGUACAAAAAGUUCUACCAUAGUUCCUGUGUUGUCUCUUGUUAUCUUCAAUAGAAUUGGCUAUGUGUCGUAGUUAGGGGUUGUACACAGAGAACAAUUAGGAUUAGGACAUGGAGUUUUGUAAUAUUUUUUUUAUAAUGGUCACCAGGAGUUAACACAGGAAAAUGCAGGAAAUCUAUCCGCAACACCAAAGACAUAGAUUAUUUAGUCAAGAGCCUAAACCCCACAGCAAUGUCCCACAUGAGUCCAGAUAAACCCCAGAGCUCAGGACAAUGCCUCCACGAGUCCAGCUGGAGGUCCAGAGCCCACAAGAAGGACUCACGCCAGUCUCUUUUACGGAUCCAUACCGGGAAGACCCGAGGGUCAGCGGUGGAAGCAAGAAAGUCUGUGCCAUCAGGAUGAAGGAGCUGUGCUAGUGGGAUGAGGGUUCUACGCUAUAGCCGAGAAGUCACACUCACAACAAAGACCAGGGCUAUCCUGAAAGGCACCACAGCCGUCCUCAGCAACACAGAGACCCUGAGCUCCUCCAACGACAAGCACAGUCGGGUACGUGCCAGGAAGCAACGUCAUCCUGAAGACCAAGCAGCACAUGUCUUACCCCUCCGGAGCCAGGAAGCGCAAUGCUCGAUGUAAAAGACCAAAGCUUCUUCAGGAGAACCAACAGCUCAGACAGCAACUCAUAGGAGAACCCACAAUGCCUCUUUAACGCCUCAACCUUCAACAUUCCCUUCUCCUCCCAUUUAUCCUGGCAACUUUCCUCAGGUGGAACAUCUUCACUCAAUGCAAUACUGAUAUAAUCCAGCUGGUGUUAAGUUGAUCACCAGUUCUUAAUCCAUAACAUAGUAUAAUUGAAUAUAUCAGUACAUAACAGUAUUAAUAAAAACACAACUUUGAAUAUAGUAUAAAAUUUCAAAAGCAGGCAGUUAUCAAACCAGAAUGUGUAUCAUAGAGUCUUGUCAUCUUCAGUGUAGUUGCCUAUACUCUCAGACUUCAUACUAUCAAGCAUAUCAGUUUUGAAUAAAAUCUGUUGAUACCAAACAGCAACCAAACAAACCAGAUUUAACUAAGAUCAUUCAUGAUAAGACAGUAUAAGUCAUACAAGGCUCCAGAUUAAGAUAAUAGGAAAUUAAAGAUGAUUACUGUGCUAUAUCCUGAUGUUUUUGGGAUAGCUGUCUGUGCCCUCAAAUCUAAUGCAGGUAGACAAACUGGGACAGAAUAAAUCUAUCCAAAAAAAAAAAUCUAAGCAGAGUGGUGCAAGUAACGUGGGUUUUAAAUCCUGGUACACUAUUAACUAUCUUCUGCCAUCUUUUUUAAGACUCUUCCUCCCUUUUCACUUCCCCAGGAUACACUGCAUUUUUGGGUCUGACCAAGAAGUUUUUAAAUUGGGGUGAGGGGACCUGCUAUUUACUUAAGUGGUUCUGAACCUUCUCUCUCCUGGACUUGAUCUCUAAUUGCAUUCUUUUACCUUUUAAAGCCUGUCUUUCCAACCUAUCCAGAAAUACUGGUCUAGUUGCCCCCUAUUACUCUCUGGUUGUUUGUCACAUAGAGCAUUAUUUUCUCAUAUUUGAUUUUCAGUCCAUGUACUCUUUUUCAUGUUAAUUAUAUUUCCUAUAAAUAGAUCUUGGACUCUCCCUCCUGAUCUACUCCACAUGUGGUUCUUUUUUUUUAAUUUAAUGUAUCAAGGCCAUCUAUAUUAGAGAUUAUAAACAACCUUCUCUGCCUCAUUUCUGUUAUGCUCUUUUUUUGCCAUUAGUUCUCUGCUUAUCUUCUGCAUUCUGUUUUCUGCUGCAUUCAUUGAGACUUCUCUGCCACUGUUCCUGGAAUCCUGAAUCCUGGUAUCUCUCUCUCUCUCUCUCUCUCUCUCUCUCUCUCUCUCUCUCUCAUGCCCUACAGUAUUCUCUGUAGAGCUGGAUUGGUGGUUACGAAUUUCUCAAGUUCCUCUUUGUCUUGGAAAAAUCUUGUUUCUCCAUUAAUUUCUAGAGAUAGUUUAGCCGGGUAUAUCAAUCUGGGGUAGAGGUUAUUUUCUUUCAGGGCUUGGAAUAUUUCGCUCCCAGGCUCUUCUUUUUUUUUUUUUUUUUUUUUUUCCCAGGCUCUUCUUGACUUGAUGGUUUGUGUCAAGAAGUCUGCCAUUAUUCUGAUGGCCUUCCUCUACAGGUUAUCUGUUUCUUGUCUCUAACAGCUUUUAAUAUUCUGUUCUUAUAUUGAAUUUCUGGGAUCUUGAUUAUUAUAUGCCUGGGUGUGGCUCUGUUUUGGUUGUAGGUGGCUGGAGUUCUGUAUGCUUCAUAUAUCAGAAUAUCAUUUCCUUUUCCUAUGUUUGGGAAGUUUUCCUUAAUUUAUUUCUGUGAAUAACCUUUGUAGUUCCUUUGUACCCCUGCUUCUUCAUUCACAUUCUUUUUUUUUCUUUUUCUUUUCUUUUCUUUUUUUUUUUUUUUUUUUGUCUUUUUCCUUUUUAUCGGUACCAGGGAUCGAACUCAUGACUGCCUGCUUGCAAGGCAGGCGCUUUAUACCACUGAGCUAAAUCCCCAGCCCCUUCAUUCACAUUCUUUAUUCUCAAGUUAUAGAUCCUUUUGUCAUCUUCUAGCCUUUGUAUUGUUACUGCUUGUUUCCUUGUUAUUUUUUAAAAGUUCUCCCUUUCAUAAUCCCACAUUGCAAAAUUGUCCUCCAGUUAGGAUAAUCUAUCCUUAGUUUCUUUCAAGCUGAUGUGCCAUCUUUCCAUAGAAUUUUUAAUUUCCUGGUGAUUCUCUUUGAAUCUGCUUCAUGUAUUCUAUAUUUUUUUAUAUUCUUCAUCAAAUGGUAUUCUCCUUUGAGUUCCUCCCUUCCGUCUGUGUCUGCUUGAGGGGUGCUUAGUAUCUCUUUUAUUAAUCUUCUUAUAUCUUGCUUUGUUUGGCUAAAUAUUUCACUUUUGAAGUCAUCUAUGAGGUCCCAAAUAUAUCUCUUUAUGUCCCUUGGUGCUGUGUGUGAUAUUGCAUAUUUGUUGUUCUCAUUGUCCUUUGUAUUUACCUGUCCUGGGUCCAUGUUCUCAGUGUUGGGCCUGGGGAGUUUUUUGUUGUUGCUUCCUCUUCCCAUCUUUUUUGCUUCUUCCAGGAGGCCCCAUUUUCUUUCUUUGUUGGUUACAUUCUUCUGAAGCGCACUGGCUAGAUGACCCUUCACACUACUGUGUGCUAGUAACUUGCAGACAGGGACAGCGUAUGCUGGUCCCUCUCCUCCAGAUCAGUCAAGCUGCUGUGGCCUGCACUGUCAGUCAAACUUCUGACGUUUCACUGUGUUAGUGUGGUUAGUGUGCGCCACCACUGUAGGGAUUUGAUUUCGGGUAACCUAUUGGGUCUCAGCCAGGUCACAUGACCCAGACCUAGCUCACUCCACCAAUCCCAUUCGGGAAGGGAACAACUUACUAAAGUCACUGCUGCCCCUUGUACUUGCCAGUUCUACCCAGUCCCAGAAUGUCAUUUGCCAGAGCCCCCCUAUUUAUAGAAUGGCUCCACUCCCAGUCACUCACCAUAGGUCAAUGUAGGCACCCUGCCAACUCAGCUCUCCUUUUUGCUUGCCAACCUCCAAACUCAAUGUUGAAGCAGCAGGACCUUGAAUGACUUGGCAAGUCAAGGUGGGACCUCAGCAAGUCACGGUGGGACCUCGGCAAAUCGCCUUAAUUUCUUAUUGGGAUGAGAGAAUUCAUCUCCCUCUGUUUGAGGCUCCCCGCUCCGUAUUAUGUUGAAUUCUAAGUUGACUAUCUCAGGGAGCCUCUGUAGCCAGUUGUUAUUUAUCCACCAUCUUUGCUCCUCCCCCUGAUUCUCUUUUGAGACAGGCUCUUGCUAAGUUGUGCAGGCUGGCCUCAAACUUGUCACUUUCUGCCUUGGCCUCCUGAGUAAGAGAUAAUAGGCAUGUGCUACCACAUCUGGCUCUUCUUUUUCUACCUUUCCCCAUUUUCUCUUAGAAUUUAUCACCUUUCUAACAUACUACAUGAUUUAGUUAUUAGCUUGCUUUAGUUAGCUUGCUACCAACCUCCCUCACAUCACUCUAGUAUAUAUAAUAAACACCAUGAAGAGAAACAUCUUGAUUUGCCAUACUCCCUGAUAUAUUCCAAGCACUUAGCCUCGUGCCUAACCCAUGGUAAGCACUCAGUUAUUUGAAUGAAGAAAAAGAAACAAAAUCUGUCACCCCUACUGUCCUAGUCACUUCCUCAUUGCUGGGACAUUACCCGACACCCACAACUUAAAGGCUCACAGUGUAUGGAAGUUUCAGUCUGUACUCAGUCACUCCGAGGCAGACAGCAUGACAGAGGGCCUGGGUAGAGGAGAGUUACUCACAGCAUGGACAACAGGAAGUGGAGAGAGAAAAGAGGAGCCACACAAGGAGAUAACCCCUUCAGGGUCACACCCAAAGUGACUGCUCUCUUCCAGCCAGGCCCUACCUUCUAACAGCAAGUCAGCUGUAAAGCCCCAAAAUCUAAUCACCCUCCAAAGGUCCUGCCUAUGAUUACUUUAGGGAGACCUCCAGAUACAAACUGUAACACCUAACAACAGAAUAAGAAUAAGAAUCCACAAUUUUAUACAACCCGGGCAUUUUUCUUUUGGCUAGGAAUUGGCAGUUUUCCCUGAAGGACCAGACAAUAAAUAUUUUAUGCUUUUU
RNA transcript from Cavia porcellus (domestic guinea pig), 9540 nucleotides. It is a transcript of the gene named SUMO peptidase family member, NEDD8 specific, with no coding region annotated. The record is from RefSeq and is a predicted model, not a curated record. NCBI's taxonomy places the organism in Eukaryota, Metazoa, Chordata, Mammalia, Rodentia, Caviidae. The transcript is spliced from 4 exons.